Molecule: RNase P RNA, 349 nt
Filed under: Synergistaceae bacterium
Lineage: Bacteria; Thermotogati; Synergistota; Synergistia; Synergistales; Synergistaceae
Description: RNase P RNA component class A
Rfam family: Bacterial RNase P class A
About the family: Ribonuclease P (RNase P) is a ubiquitous endoribonuclease, found in archaea, bacteria and eukarya as well as chloroplasts and mitochondria.
Source: RNAcentral
GGAGUAUCACAAACGACCGCUGCCUCCGGUUCUUUGAGCCGGGGGGAGAGGAAAGUCCGGGCUCCAAAGGGCAGGACGCUGGAUAACUUCCAGUAGGUGCGAACCUCAGGCCAGUGCCACAGAAACAGUCCGCCGGCCACAGAGCCGGCAAGGGUGAAAAGGUGGGGUAAGAGCCCACCAGCUGUAGGGUGACCUGCAGGCUAGGCAAACCCCGUCUGGAGCAAGACCGAAUAGGGGGGGAUGAGGCGGCCCGCUGACCCCCGGGUACGGUCGCUUGAACUUGUGCGCAAGCCCAAGUCUAGAGAAAUGGUCGUUCUUGACAGAACCCGGCUUACGGGAUGCUCCCCGC